AAACCCCAUAACUUAGCUCCAGAAUAACUAGAAAACCCCCAGAACUUAGCUCCAGAAUAACUAGAAAACCCCAUAACUUAGCUCCAGAAUAACUAGGAAAACCCCAUAACUUAGCUCCAGAACAACUAGAAAAACCCCAUAACUUAGCUCCAGAAUAACUAGGAAAACCCCAUAACUUAGCUCCAGAAUAACUAGGAAAACCCCAUAACUUAGCUCCAGAACAACUAGAAAAACCCCAUAACUUAGCUCCAGAAUAACUAGAAAACCUCAUAACUUA
This is a long non-coding RNA of Acanthochromis polyacanthus (spiny chromis), 277 nucleotides long. RefSeq lists it as uncharacterized. NCBI's taxonomy places the organism in Eukaryota, Metazoa, Chordata, Actinopteri, Pomacentridae. The transcript is spliced from 2 exons. The record is from RefSeq and is a predicted model, not a curated record.